RNAcentral lists this ribosomal RNA (468 nucleotides) under uncultured bacterium. RNAcentral describes it as "partial 16S ribosomal RNA". It matches the Rfam family "Bacterial small subunit ribosomal RNA", at positions 28 to 507 of the family's 1533-position model. The record is from RNAcentral.
GACGAACGCUGGCGGCGUGCUUAACACAUGCAAGUCGAACGGAAAGGCCCUGCUUUUGUGGGGUGCUCGAGUGGCGAACGGGUGAGUAACACGUGAGUAACCUGCCCUUGACUUUGGGAUAACUUCAGGAAACUGGGGCUAAUACCGGAUAGGAGCUCCUGCUGCAUGGUGGGGGUUGGAAAGUUUCGGCGGUUGGGGAUGGACUCGCGGCUUAUCAGCUUGUUGGUGGGGUAGUUGCUUACCAAGGCAUUGACGGGUAGCCGGCCUGAGAGGGUGACCGGCCACAUUGGGACUGAGAUACGGACCAGAGUCCUACGGGAGGCAGCAGUGGGGAAUAUUGCACAGUGGGCGGGAGCCUGAUGCAGCGACGCCGCGUGCGGGAUGACGGCCUUCGGGUUGUAAACCGCUUUCGCCUGUGACGAAGCGUGAGUGACGGUAAUGGGUGAAGAAGCACCGGCUAACUACGUG